UUUCUAUAGCACAUUAAACUUCUUUAUUUAAAAAGGGACACUGCACAUUAAUCAACAUGAGAACAGAGUCCAACAUGUAAAUAUGCCAGAUUUAGCCAUACAGGCUAAUUUUAAUCUGCAGUCCCAAGCAUGGCUAA
This is a long non-coding RNA of Etheostoma cragini (Arkansas darter), 137 nucleotides long. RefSeq lists it as uncharacterized. Lineage: Eukaryota; Metazoa; Chordata; Actinopteri; Perciformes; Percidae. The transcript has 3 exons. The record is from RefSeq and is a predicted model, not a curated record.